This 77-nucleotide transfer RNA is filed under the name Desulfoluna butyratoxydans. RNAcentral describes it as "tRNA-Met". It matches the Rfam family "tRNA". Rfam says of the family: Transfer RNA (tRNA) molecules are approximately 80 nucleotides in length. Their secondary structure includes four short double-helical elements and three loops (D, anti-codon, and T loops). Further hydrogen bonds mediate the characteristic L-shaped molecular structure. tRNAs have two regions of fundamental functional importance: the anti-codon, which is responsible for specific mRNA codon recognition, and the 3' end, to which the tRNAs corresponding amino acid is attached (by aminoacyl-tRNA synthetases). tRNAs cope with the degeneracy of the genetic code in two manners: having more than one tRNA (with a specific anti-codon) for a particular amino acid; and 'wobble' base-pairing, i.e. permitting non-standard base-pairing at the 3rd anti-codon position. The record is from RNAcentral. Lineage: Bacteria; Pseudomonadati; Thermodesulfobacteriota; Desulfobacteria; Desulfobacterales; Desulfolunaceae.
UGCGGGAUAGAGAAGUGGUUUAACUCGUCGGGCUCAUUACCCGAAGAUCGCUGGUUCAAAUCCAGCUCCCGCAACCA